Molecule: small nuclear RNA, 106 nt
Organism: Physella acuta
Lineage: Eukaryota; Metazoa; Mollusca; Gastropoda; Physidae
Source: RefSeq, a predicted model, not a curated record
GUAUAAUGAGUUAGUACAUACAAUAAAAUUGGAACGAUACAGAGAAGAUUAGCAUGGCUCUCGCGCAGAGAUGACACGCAGAAUCGUAAAAAUUUUUUAGAGUUUU